GACGAACGCUGGCGGCGUGCUUAACACAUGCAAGUCGAACGAUGAAGCCCUUCGGGGUGGAUUAGUGGCGAACGGGUGAGUAACACGUGGGCAAUCUGCCCUUCACUCUGGGACAAGCCCUGGAAACGGGGUCUAAUACCGGAUACCACUCCUGUCUGCAUGGACGGGGGUUGAAAGCUCCGGCGGUGAAGGAUGAGCCCGCGGCCUAUCAGCUUGUUGGUGGGGUAAUGGCCCACCAAGGCGACGACGGGUAGCCGGCCUGAGAGGGCGACCGGCC
This 277-nucleotide ribosomal RNA is filed under the name uncultured bacterium. RNAcentral describes it as "partial 16S ribosomal RNA". It matches the Rfam family "Bacterial small subunit ribosomal RNA", at positions 28 to 309 of the family's 1533-position model. The record is from RNAcentral.